This 317-nucleotide ribosomal RNA is filed under the name Rhiginia cruciata. RNAcentral describes it as "partial 16S ribosomal RNA". The stretch from base 168 to 317 matches the Rfam family "Bacterial large subunit ribosomal RNA", at positions 2473 to 2623 of the family's 2925-position model. Lineage: Eukaryota; Metazoa; Arthropoda; Insecta; Hemiptera; Reduviidae. The record is from RNAcentral.
UCUUUAUAUUUAUUUAUUUUAUUAUAUUUUAGUUUUAUUAUCUAUUUUAAAAUAAUUUUUUAUUUGAUUGGGGUGAUUUUAGAAUUUAACUAACUACUAUUAAAUUUAUCAUUGAUGAAUGUUUUAUUGAUCCUUUAUUAUUGAUUAUAAGAUUAAGUUACCUUAGGGAUAACAGCGUAAUUUUUUCGGAGAGUUCAUAUUGAUGAAGAAGUUUGCGACCUCGAUGUUGGAUUAAAAUAAGUUAUGGGCGCAGUUGUCUAUAAACUGAGUCUGUUCGACUUUUAAAUUUUUACAUGAUCUGAGUUCAAACCGGAGGA